UGGGGAAUCUUGCGCAAUGGGCGGAAGCCUGACGCAGCAACGCCACGUGGGGGAUGACGGCCUUCGGGUUGUAAACCUCUUUCGGCCUUGACGAAGGCAUCCCUGUUGGGGGUGUUGACGGUAGGGGCAGAAGAAGCACCGGCUAACUACGUGCCAGCAGCCGCGGUAAUACGUAGGGUGCGAGCGUUGUCCGGAGUUACUGGGCGUAAAGAGCUCGUAGGCGGUGUGUCGCGUCGGCCGUGAAAUCCUGCUGCUUAACGGUGGGCUUGCGGUCGAUACGGGCAGACUAGAGUUCGGUAGGGGAGACUGGAAUUCCUGGUGUAGCGGUGAAAUGCGCAGAUAUCAGGAGGAACGCCGGUGGCGAAGGCGGGUCUCUGGGCCGAUACUGACGCUGAGGAGCGAAAGCGUGGGGAGCGAACAGG
This 422-nucleotide ribosomal RNA is filed under the name uncultured prokaryote. Its description in RNAcentral is "bacterial SSU rRNA". It matches the Rfam family "Bacterial small subunit ribosomal RNA", at positions 355 to 776 of the family's 1533-position model. RNAcentral also lists the same sequence under 1 other name. The record is from RNAcentral.